Molecule: long non-coding RNA, 956 nt
Organism: Cyprinus carpio carpio
Lineage: Eukaryota; Metazoa; Chordata; Actinopteri; Cypriniformes; Cyprinidae
Source: Ensembl
AUGGACUGGAAAAUUAAAAAUCACUGUCAAAAAGGAGCUGAAGCAUCGGCCUCCCAUCGGGAUCACAACGGCAAACUCUCUGAGAGUGGUGUUGGCGGCAUGCUGAGGGAUCGAUAUAAACUCGCACGUGUACGUAAACGGCGUUUCCAUAUCACCCAUCUGCUUCUGUAAACAGGAGCCAUGUUUGAAGAGCUGCUCACUCAUCACGAUUGUGCCGACAGGUAAACCCAAAACGACCGUGGAACACGCUCACGGUCUGUCUGCGACCGUGGAUCAAAGGGGCCACUAAAGGGAUCCCUGGAUCAGAGCAGACAUCUGGAGGCCAAUAACUGUGGGAUUAAGAUUAAAAUCAGCCUUUCACUAGAUUUCAUCUCUUUCAAUUUUAUCUCAUUUAUUCCUUGCCCCAUCUCUUUUAUUCCUCUUUCACUUCAUUUCUAUUUCUAAAUUGAUGCAGUCUUUUUUGUGGUGUUUUUUUGAAAAGGCAAGUGUAGGACUGCAGAUUCUCUCAAGCUGAUAAUGUGCACAGUUAAAGUGGCUCAUUAAACCCAUUUUUCACACAGAAAUCACUGCUUAGCUCCAAGUCUGCAGUCAGCACUCCCCCCGUUCCCUUCGCUGGGUGUAUAAACGUCUGAUAAAAAUAGUGCAACUGAAUCAAACUCCACAUCAUUCCAUCAAACUGUUUGACUCCUACUGCUUUUGCUGCUUGUUGUUUAAUAAAACUGUUAUUAAAGAAAUAGUUCACCCAAAACUCACCCUGAUGUUCCAAACAUGUGUGACUUUCUUUUUUGGAAGAGAGAGAAAUUUAGAAAAAUCAUUUCCAUGCAAUUGCGGUAGCUUUAAAACUUCAAAAACAACAUAAGUUGCCUGUAUGCCUUGUGCACUAUAUGAAAACUCUUUUGAACCAGAAAAUCAGACUGGAAUACAAGUCAUUAUUCACUGAAAAUUUUGCCAUUUAC